This 349-nucleotide unclassified non-coding RNA is filed under the name Hevea brasiliensis (rubber tree). Lineage: Eukaryota; Viridiplantae; Streptophyta; Magnoliopsida; Malpighiales; Euphorbiaceae. The record is from RNAcentral.
UCCAAACGAAAAAGAUCCUGUGAUCUCGAGGACAUGUCUAGGGGUGCAGCUCAUGCUCACCGGUUUCUGAAAGCGUUCUCUGAUUUGCCACUAGAGACUAUGGAUUUGAAGGAGGCUCUGCACCAAGUAAGCAAGCUGAAGAAUGACUUGGAGAGGGAUGCAGCAAAUUGCCGCUGGCUCAAGCAAUUUUUCUAGUUGUCCUUGCAACAACACAGGUAGCAGUAUUUGCAUGUUGGAUGUUUUAUAAGGUCGAUGAAAGUAUCAGGCACUAAAAUGCUCCACUUCCCUCCAAUUUUGUGUGAAUAAAGUAAAUAUCAAAUGCAAAAGUAUGCAAUAGGAGGAAGCAGGC